GUUGACUAGAUAGCUCAGCGGUAGAGCAUAACCUUGCCAAGGUUAGGGUCGACGGUUCGAUCCCGUUCGCCCGCUCCA
RNAcentral lists this transfer RNA (78 nucleotides) under Sulfurovum riftiae. RNAcentral describes it as "tRNA-Gly". The stretch from base 11 to 67 matches the Rfam family "tRNA", at positions 8 to 63 of the family's 71-position model. From Rfam's summary of the family: Transfer RNA (tRNA) molecules are approximately 80 nucleotides in length. Their secondary structure includes four short double-helical elements and three loops (D, anti-codon, and T loops). Lineage: Bacteria; Pseudomonadati; Campylobacterota; Epsilonproteobacteria; Campylobacterales; Sulfurovaceae. The record is from RNAcentral.